RNAcentral lists this ribosomal RNA (584 nucleotides) under Clostridium perfringens. RNAcentral's name for it is "partial 23S ribosomal RNA". It matches the Rfam family "Bacterial large subunit ribosomal RNA", at positions 611 to 1193 of the family's 2925-position model. Lineage: Bacteria; Bacillati; Bacillota; Clostridia; Eubacteriales; Clostridiaceae. The record is from RNAcentral.
UAGAACGAGCCAACGAGUUACGGUAUGUAGCAAGGUUAAGUACUUAAGGUACGGAGCCGAAGGGAAACCGAGUCUGAAUAGGGCGACUAGUUGCAUGCCGUAGACCCGAAACCGGGUGACCUAUCCAUGGCCAGGUUGAAGCGAGGGUAAAACCUCGUGGAGGACCGAACCACGUUGCUGUUGAAAAAGCAUGGGAUGAGCUGUGGAUAGCGGAGAAAUUCCAAUCGAACCCGGAGAUAGCUGGUUCUCUCCGAAAUAGCUUUAGGGCUAGCGUCGAGUAUGAGUAGUGGAGGUAGAGCACUGAAUGGGCUAGGGGGCAUAGCGCUUACCGAACCUUAUCAAACUCCGAAUGCCACAUACUUUGAGCUCGGCAGUCAGACUACGAAUGAUAAGAUCCGUGGUCAAAAGGGAAACAGCCCAGAUCGUCAGCUAAGGUCCCAAAGUGUAAGUUAAGUGGGAAAGGAUGUGAGAUUUCUAAGACAACUAGGAUGUUGGCUUAGAAGCAGCCAUUCAUUAAAAGAGUGCGUAAUAGCUCACUAGUCGAGAGAUCUUGCGCCGAAAAUGUAACGGGGCUAAACUUACCA